RNAcentral lists this ribosomal RNA (484 nucleotides) under uncultured bacterium. Its description in RNAcentral is "partial 16S ribosomal RNA". It matches the Rfam family "Bacterial small subunit ribosomal RNA", at positions 30 to 507 of the family's 1533-position model. The record is from RNAcentral.
AUUGAACGCUGGCGGAAUGCUUUACACAUGCAAGUCGAACGGCAGCACGGGGGCAGCCCUGGUGGCGAGUGGCGAACGGGUGAGUAAUACAUCGGAACGUGCCCGGUCGUGGGGGAUAACGUAGCGAAAGUUACGCUAAUACCGCAUACGAUCUGAGGAUGAAAGCGGGGGACCUUCGGGCCUCGCGCGAUCGGAGCGGCCGAUGUCAGAUUAGGUAGUUGGUGGGGUAAAGGCCUACCAAGCCGACGAUCUGUAGCUGGUCUGAGAGGACGACCAGCCACACUGGGACUGAGACACGGCCCAGACUCCUACGGGAGGCAGCAGUGGGGAAUUUUGGACAAUGGGCGCAAGCCUGAUCCAGCCAUUCCGCGUGCAGGACGAAGGUCUUCGGGUUGCAAACUGCUUUUGUACGGAACGAAAAGGCUCUGGCUAAUACCUGGGGCUCAUGACGGUACCGUAAGAAUAAGCACCGGCUAACUACGUG